CACUGUACAGAAUCCUCCGGUUCUCUCUAGAACCGGACGAUUCGAGCCGUCCAUGGCGAUUCCCGAGUCGAACCGAGCGAGUCCGGUUCGACUCGACGUUUUUUUAAACACUGAUCCCAACUAUUCGAGAUAGACUUCUGACAACACUCCUGAUCAUAAUUGUUGUCAUAGCCUUUUCCUAAGUAUUCGAGAUAGACUACUCUCACAAUACGUCAUGAUUAUCAUUGUCCGAGCCUUAUCCCAACCAU
RNAcentral lists this long non-coding RNA (248 nucleotides) under Amborella trichopoda. Its description in RNAcentral is "long non-coding RNA (ATRI_LNC002802)". Lineage: Eukaryota; Viridiplantae; Streptophyta; Magnoliopsida; Amborellales; Amborellaceae. The record is from RNAcentral.